RNAcentral lists this long non-coding RNA (933 nucleotides) under Mus spicilegus (steppe mouse). RNAcentral's name for it is "lncRNA (ENSMSIG00000030616.1)". Lineage: Eukaryota; Metazoa; Chordata; Mammalia; Rodentia; Muridae. The record is from RNAcentral.
CUUGAACUCAGGAACCCCUUUGGACCUCUGGAGUACUGGGAUUACAGAUGUGCACCACCACACCCACCCUGUGGGCUUCAUUACAAUGUAAAAACCCAGAAAAGUGUCUCUGACAAUCCACAGCACAGAUGAUGGGCUGCCCUGGAACUCACUCUGUAGACCAGGUUGGCCUCGAAUUCAGAGAUCCACCCGCCUCUGCCUCCCGAGGGCUGGGAUGAAAGGCGUGUGCUACCAUGUCUGGCUUGAGAAAUUCAACCUCCAAAACCAGCUUCUACUUGGCAUACUUGAAGACCUCUCUAACUUAAAAGAGUGGUACACGUCUCUGGGCAGCAUGCCAAGGUCAUAUUUCAAAGACCAAGUUAAUUUUCAUGGAAAAGGAACCCUAUGGACGUUUUUGGAAUUUGAUUUUAGAAAGCAACUUCCUGGGCGGGGGAGCAGGUUACUUAGCAUCCAAGUGACUCCUCCCUCAUGCUUCUUUGCACACUUGAGGAAAACCCCUUUUGAGUCCAGUUUCACCAGGAAAUUAAUGACCCUUCCUUGAAGAUUCAAGUUAAGUCAAGUUUGUCUCCAAAAGGGAAGCUGUGGUUUUUCUUCUUCUUCUUCUUCUAAACACGAAUAUUUACUGCCCACCCCCGUACCUACCUCCCUGUACAGCUCUUUCCAUUUUCCAUAUGCUUUUCCAGAGCUAGUCGUUUGUCACUUGAAGACAGGUAGCAAGUGAGAUGUUGAAGUUGGUACUCUAAGGCUCUUGGCCAGUGUCCCCUAGAUAGCAAGCUGUGGCCAGGGCAAAUACAGAGACAUCAGGAGUGUGUGUGUGUGUGUGUGGGGGGGGUGUUGGGGAAACACAUUUUCAUUGGUUGUAUCUUACGAGGCGCAAUUCUCAUUGGCUACACCUUAGGGCGGGGGCACAUUCUCAUUGGCUGGAGGAGUUUC